CCUACGGGUGGCAGCAGUGAGGAAUAUUGGUCAAUGGCCGAGAGGCUGAACCAGCCAAGUCGCGUGAGGGAAGAAUGUCCUAUGGAUUGUAAACCUCUUUUGUCAGGGAGCAAAGUCACCCACGUGUGGGUGUUGGAGAGUACCUGAAGAAAAAGCAUCGGCUAACUCCGUGCCAGCAGCCGCGGUAAUACGGAGGGUGCGAGCGUUAUCCGGAUUUAUUGGGGUUAAAGGGUGCGUAGGCGGGUUAUCAAGUCAGCGGUUAAAUCGUGGAGCUCAACUCCAGCCAGGCGGUGAAAACGGGUGUUCUUGAGUGCGCGAGAAGCAUGCGGAAUGCGUCGUGUAGCGGUGAAAUGCAUAGAUAUGACGCAGAACUCCGAUUGCGAAGGCAGCAUGCCGGCGCCCGACUGACGCUGAUGUACGAAAGCGUGGGUAUCGAACAGGAUUAGAUACCCGGGUAGUC
Molecule: ribosomal RNA, 460 nt
Filed under: uncultured bacterium
Lineage: Bacteria
Description: partial 16S ribosomal RNA
Rfam family: Bacterial small subunit ribosomal RNA
Source: RNAcentral